Molecule: long non-coding RNA, 374 nt
Organism: Centruroides sculpturatus (bark scorpion)
Lineage: Eukaryota; Metazoa; Arthropoda; Arachnida; Scorpiones; Buthidae
Exons: 3
Source: RefSeq, a predicted model, not a curated record
AUUUAAUAAGUGAUAAUAAAUAUUGCAGAUGGUAUAUAUCAGUUUAUUGAUCCAGAACAGAAGUUAUCGAAGUAUGCACCAAAGUGGUGGAAAGUACUUCGUAAUAAUGGAAUUGAUAAUAGAAAAAAUAUCUUGACUUUUCAUUUUCGUAUAGAAAUAUACGUUGAUUGUCAUUUACUAGUAAAUGAUAAAAUAGCAAGGCAUUAUUACUAUCUUCAAUUGCGUGAAAAUGUCAUUAAGUACAACCAAAGCAUAAAUGAAGAGAGAGCAUUUCUCUUAGCAGCUUAUGCUUUACAGGCAGAUUUUGGGAAUUAUAAUAAAAAUAUUCAUGUUGGAAGAUAUUUUGAACCACAAAAAUACUUUCCUCUUUCAGU